ACGCUGGCGGCAGGCCUAACACAUGCAAGUCGAGCGGUAGAGAGAAGCUUGCUUCUCUUGAGAGCGGCGGACGGGUGAGUAAUGCCUAGGAAUCUGCCUGGUAGUGGGGGAUAACGUUCGGAAACGGACGCUAAUACCGCAUACGUCCUACGGGAGAAAGCAGGGGACCUUCGGGCCUUGCGCUAUCAGAUGAGCCUAGGUCGGGUUAGCUAGUUGGUGAGGUAAUGGCUCACCAAGGCGACGAUCCGUAACUGGUCUGAGAGGAUGAUCAGUCACACUGGAACUGAGACACGGUCCAGACUCCUACGGGAGGCAGCAGUGGGGAAUAUUGGACAAUGGGCGAAAGCCUGAUCCAGCCAUGCCGCGUGUGUGAAGAAGGUCUUCGGAUUGUAAAGCACUUUAAGUUGGGAGGAAGGGCAUUAACCUAAUACGUUAGUGUUUUGACGUUACCGACAGAAUAAGCACCGGCUAACUCUGUGCCAGCAGCCGCGGUAAUACAGAGGGUGCAAGCGUUAAUCGGAAUUACUGGGCGUAAAGCGCGCGUAGGUGGUUUGUUAAGUUGGAUGUGAAAUCCCCGGGCUCAACCUGGGAACUGCAUUCAAAACUGACUGACUAGAGUAUGGUAGAGGGUGGUGGAAUUUCCUGUGUAGCGGUGAAAUGCGUAGAUAUAGGAAGGAACACCAGUGGCGAAGGCGACCACCUGGACUAAUACUGACACUGAGGUGCGAAAGCGUGGGGAGCAAAC
This 745-nucleotide ribosomal RNA is filed under the name uncultured bacterium. RNAcentral's name for it is "bacterial SSU rRNA". It matches the Rfam family "Bacterial small subunit ribosomal RNA", at positions 33 to 773 of the family's 1533-position model. The record is from RNAcentral.